ACGUAGGGUGCAAGCGUUGUCCGGAAUUACUGGGUGUAAAGGGAGCGCAGGCGGGAAGACAAGUUGGAAGUGAAAACCAUGGGCUCAACCCAUGAAUUGCUUUCAAAACUGUUUUUCUUGAGUAGUGCAGAGGCAGAUGGAAUUCCCGGUGUAGCGGUGGAAUGCGUAGAUAUCGGGAGGAACACCAGUGGCGAAGGCGGUCUACUGGGCACCAACUGACGCUGAGGCUCGAAAGCAUGGGUAGCAAACAG
RNAcentral lists this ribosomal RNA (251 nucleotides) under uncultured bacterium. RNAcentral's name for it is "partial 16S ribosomal RNA". It matches the Rfam family "Bacterial small subunit ribosomal RNA", at positions 525 to 775 of the family's 1533-position model. The record is from RNAcentral.